This 460-nucleotide ribosomal RNA is filed under the name uncultured bacterium. RNAcentral describes it as "partial 16S ribosomal RNA". It matches the Rfam family "Bacterial small subunit ribosomal RNA", at positions 338 to 795 of the family's 1533-position model. The record is from RNAcentral.
CCUACGGGUGGCAGCAGUGAGGAAUAUUGGUCAAUGGGCGCGAGCCUGAACCAGCCAAGUAGCGUGAAGGAUGACUGCCCUACGGGUUGUAAACUUCUUUUAUAAAGGAAUAAAGUGAGGCACGUGUGCCUUUUUGUAUGUACUUUAUGAAUAAGGAUCGGCUAACUCCGUGCCAGCAGCCGCGGUAAUACGGAGGAUCCGAGCGUUAUCCGGAUUUAUUGGGUUUAAAGGGAGCGUAGAUGGGUUGUUAAGUCAGUUGUGAAAGUUUCGGGCUCAACCGUGGAAUUGCAAUUGAUACUGGCAGUCUUGAGUACAGUUGAGGUAGGCGGAAUUUGUGGUGUAGCGGUGAAAUGCUUAGAGAUCACGCAGAACUCCGAUUGCGAAGGCAGCUUACCAAACUGUCACUGACGUUGAGGCUCGAAAGUGUGGGGAUCAAACAGGAUUAGAUACCCCAGUAGUC